UACGUAGGGUGCAAGCGUUAAUCGGAAUUACUGGGCGUAAAGCGUGCGCAGGCGGUUAUGUAAGACAGUUGUGAAAUCCCCGGGCUCAACCUGGGAACUGCAUCUGUGACUGCAUCGCUGGAGUGCGGCAGAGGGGGAUGGAAUUCCGCGUGUAGCAGUGAAAUGCGUAGAGAUGUGGAGGAACACCGAUGGCGAAGGCAGCCCCCUGGGUCAAGAUUGACGCUCAUGCACGAAAGCGUGGGGAGCAAACAGG
This 253-nucleotide ribosomal RNA is filed under the name uncultured bacterium. RNAcentral's name for it is "partial 16S ribosomal RNA". It matches the Rfam family "Bacterial small subunit ribosomal RNA", at positions 524 to 776 of the family's 1533-position model. The record is from RNAcentral.